GACGAAUCAGGCGGCGUGCCUAACACAUGCAAGUCGAGCGAUGAAGCUCCUUCGGGAGUGGAUUAGCGGCGGACGGGUGAGUAACACGUGGGUAACCUGCCUCAUAGAGGGGAAUAGCCUCCCGAAAGGGAGAUUAAUACCGCAUAAUGUAUGAGAAUCGCAUGAUUUUUGUACCAAAGGAGCAAUCCGCUAUGAGAUGGACCCGCGGCGCAUUAGCUAGUUGGUGAGGUAAAGGCUCACCAAGGCGACGAUGCGUAGCCGACCUGAGAGGGUGAUCGGCCACAUUGGAACUGAGACACGGUCCAGACUCCUACGGGAGGCAGCAGUGGGGAAUAUUGCGCAAUGGGGGAAACCCUGACGCAGCAACGCCGCGUGAAUGAAGAAGGCCUUAGGGUUGUAAAGUUCUGUCAUAUGGGAAGAUAAUGACGGUACCAUAUGAGGAAGCCACGGCUAACUACGUGCCAGCAGCCGCGGUAAUACGUAGGUGGCAAGCGUUGUCCGGAUUUACUGGGCGUAAAGGGUGCGUAGGCGGAUAUUUAAGUCAGAUGUGAAAUACCCAGGCUUAACUUGGGAGUUGCAUUUGAAACUGGAUAUCUAGAGUGCAGGAGAGGAAAGCGGAAUUCCUAGUGUAGCGGUGAAAUGCGUAGAGAUUAGGAAGAACACCAGUGGCGAAGGCGGCUUUCUGGACUGUAACUGACGCUGAGGCACGAAAGCGUGGGUAGCAAACAGGAUUAGAUACCCUGGUAGUCCACGCUGUAAACGAUGAAUACUAGGUGUAGGAGGUGUCAUGCCUUCUGUGCCGCAGUUAACACAAUAAGUAUUCCGCCUGGGGAGUACGGUCGCAAGAUUAA
RNAcentral lists this ribosomal RNA (851 nucleotides) under uncultured bacterium. Its description in RNAcentral is "bacterial SSU rRNA". It matches the Rfam family "Bacterial small subunit ribosomal RNA", at positions 28 to 897 of the family's 1533-position model. The record is from RNAcentral.